UAGGAGAAAAUCUUAAGAAAUUUUUAAUACUAAGUCACUUUUCAAAAAGAAACUUAUUUAAGAGUUCGAUGAAUAUUUCCUAACUUUUCACCCUAAUAUCGCAUCAGCUUAACAAAGUUAGCAUUACCUACAAUGGAGAACAGCAGUUUAAAUGAACAGUUAAUUUGCACACGCAAUAAACAGUUUAAUUUGCACGUGCAAUAAAAUUCCGUUCGAAUUAAAACUUAAAAUUAAAGAAACUUUUAAGAAACUCAAUAUUCUAAAAUAUCGUUAGAGAACUUAUCAAAAAACUAUAAUGAAACUGAAGGAGAAAGAAAAAAUUCAAAUGUGUUUUGGUCUGGUGAUUUUGGAUAAACUAAAGAUAAACUUUAUAAAGACAAACUGCAUCUUAAGUGUCGUUUUUUUACAAGAAUGAACUGCAAAGGCAGAGCUUUUAUUCAUGAAGAUAAACUUCAGGUUACAACUGUUCACAGUUGCAGUUCAAGAGAAACAGACUUUGAAGUGAUGCUUGCUAAAAGUACCAUGAAGAAAAAAGCAGAAGCAACAUCUGAAGACCUGCGUUUAAUUUUUCAAAACACUUUGAGUGAGUUUUCUGCAGUUGUUUCUAAAUCUGUUAGUUUUCGUCAAAUUAUCCCAAGUCUUCAGAAAAGGAGAAGGCUAAAUGAGCCUUCAAACCCAAAAUCACCUAAUGAAGCUGCUGAGGUUCUGAAUGACAAAGAGUCCCAUCGCUAUGGAGACAUUUUCUUGGGAUCAGUUGCAGAAAAGGAUAACGUAGCAUUGCUGUUUGGGCAUAUGCUAGUCAUCAACAAGGCGAAAUCGGUCAAAGUGUGUUUUGUUGAUAAAACAUUUAGGUAUUUAUACGUAUGCAUUUAACUUUUUCAAAAAAUAUUUAUAUAUUUAUACAUAUAUUUAUCUAGGGGGCUGUCCAUUAAUUACAUCAACAAACUUUUGGGUAUUUUUACAUUACCCCCUCCCCCAUGUCAACAACUUGUUAAAUUUCCAGAGACACUUCUUUCCCCUAUAAAGUUAUGUCAAUUUUUGAUAACCCUUCUCCCCUAAAUAAAGACGCUGCGCUAAAAAUGCAGGCAAAUUUUUCUUUUUUUGAGUAACGAAAUUAAAAAAAAUAAAGAAAUAUUGUUGAUGUCAACUUUACUUGACCUCCUCCCCUCACCCUUAGCAAAAAUUUUCAAAAAAAUUUAGACACCUUUUUCCUUAUUUUUUUAACAUUAUUAAUGGACAGCCCGUAGACGAAAAAAGUGAUAUAUUAAAAACGUUAGGUAGAACACUUUUAUUUACAGUUGUAAAUUAUAGUUACAUUUAUUGUACUUCCAGCAUGACACCACGCAUGAAGGAAAGUAAGUGGUAUCAGCUCUUGAUAUUUUCUGUUGAGUAUUCAGCAGUACUUGAAGAUCCAAUUCCAGAUGAGGAUAAGAUGAAUUUUGAUCCUGAAAACCCUCACCUUUGGGGAAUAUCUGUUCCAGCUGUAUGCGCUUUAAUGACAUCGAAAUCCGAGGCUCUAUACAAGCUUGUUUUUUCCAAAAUAAAAGAAGUUUUAGAUUUCUCUCGAGUCACCAUUAUGUCAGAUUUUGAACGAGGACUACAGAAUGCUUUAAAAACAACUUGGAGUGAAAGCUUGGUGAAUGGUUGCAGGUAUAAGUUAUUACUUUGUUAUUACUUAGUUUCCAGUCUCUAAGUUAUCCAAGUUUUUCAGAGUUGGUUAUCAUUUAAUGAUCUCCUUUAAACCCUUAUCUUUAAGUUUCAUUUCGAAAAUGCAAUCACCAAGCAAUUAGCAGUUCUUGGUCUUCAGAGGGAAUACCGCCACCAAAUUCAAGUAAAGAAGUGGGCACGAAAAGUUUCAGCACUUUGUCUCCUUCCUGCAAACAAGAUCUUGGUUGCUUGGGGAUCUCGAGUUAUUGAGAUUGCACAAUUUAGUCGCGAAAUCAAAAUCAAACUACUUGCUUUUAAAAGGUAUUUUGAGAGUUAUUAGCUCAAUAUAGUGACCCCAGAAGGAUUCAGUGUUUAUGGCUUGAACCACAAAACCAAUAACAAUGCAGAGAGUCUCAAUAGAUGUUUGAAAUCAAAUAUGGGUGAUCAACAUAGAGGAUUUUAACAGUUUAUGAAAUUGCUUAACCAGCAUGUAAUGGUCCAUACAAUUCAAGAGCUUCAACAGCUUGCCUGCAAUCAGCCAGUCCGCCAUGACCAACGCGACUAUGGUGCAAUUGAAAAAAUGCGUUGUUUUGAGAAAAAACUUCGAGAUGGAGUUUGGACAACUGAGAGGUUCCUAUCAACAGUAUCAUAUCUCUUUCAAAACUUCAAAGUAGUUGCUUUGAAUGAAAACUCAAUGAACGAGGUUGGUGAGAGUUCCUUUGCCAACUUCUACUUCAACAGAGUCACUGAAGUGCGUUGUUUGUACCGUCAAUGAAUGAAAUGUAUUAGUAAUGCCUUGCAGACAUUUUUUGUUUUGUCAGCCCUGCAUUCAACAAGUCCAACAAAGCAACACAGCUCAUUGUCCCACUUGCCGAGGACCAAUAUCAUCUAUAAUUGAACCUUUUCAAUGAUUCAGUAAAAUUUUCCUUUUUACCUAUAUUUUAAAAACUAGAAUGUCACACAAUUGUUUAAA
Molecule: non-coding RNA, 2620 nt
Organism: Hydra vulgaris (swiftwater hydra)
Lineage: Eukaryota; Metazoa; Cnidaria; Hydrozoa; Anthoathecata; Hydridae
Source: RefSeq, a predicted model, not a curated record